This 196-nucleotide ribosomal RNA is filed under the name uncultured Pseudomonas sp. Its description in RNAcentral is "partial 16S ribosomal RNA". It matches the Rfam family "Bacterial small subunit ribosomal RNA", at positions 332 to 520 of the family's 1533-position model. Lineage: Bacteria; Pseudomonadati; Pseudomonadota; Gammaproteobacteria; Pseudomonadales; Pseudomonadaceae. The record is from RNAcentral.
UAUAUUCCUACGGGAAGCAGCAGUGGGGAAUAUUGGACAAUGGGCGAAAGCCUGAUCCAGCCAUGCCGCGUGUGUGAAGAAGGUCUUCGGAUUGUAAAGCACUUUAAGUUGGGAGGAAGGGUUGUAGAUUAAUACUCUGCAAUUUUGACGUUACCGACAGAAUAAGCACCGGCUAACUAUGUGCCAGCAGCUGCGG